This 1218-nucleotide ribosomal RNA is filed under the name metagenome. Its description in RNAcentral is "bacterial SSU rRNA". It matches the Rfam family "Bacterial small subunit ribosomal RNA", at positions 133 to 1326 of the family's 1533-position model. The record is from RNAcentral.
UGUGUUGGGGAUAACACUUCUAACGAGGUGCUAAUACCGAAUGAAAAGACGGGGCGCAAGCCUUCGUCUUCAAAGGUGGCCUCUGCUUGCAUGCUGCCGCAUGGAGGUGGGCCCGCGUCGUAUUAGCUAGUUGGUGGGGUAAUGGCCUACCAAGGCGAUGAUGCGUAGCCGGCCUGAGAGGGUGAACGGCCACACUGGAACUGAGACAAGGUCCAGUCCCCUACGGGGGCCAGCAGUCUAGAAAUUUGCACAAUCGACGAAAGUUGGAUGCAGCGACGCCACGUGGAGGAUGAAGCCCCUCGGGGUGUAAACUCCUGUCAGAAGGGAAGAAGGCGCGGCCGUUAAUACCGGUCGCUGCUUGACGGUACCUUCAAAGGAAGCUCCGGCUAACUACGUGCCAGCAGCCGCGGUAAUACGUAGGGAGCGAGCGUUGUUCGGAUUUACUGGGCGUAAAGGGCAGGUAGGCGGGUGUGUAAGUCGGUUGUGAAAUCCUCUGGCUCAACCAGAGAAUGGCAGCCGAAACUGCACGUCUUGAGUCCAGCAGAGGGAAUCGGAAUCCUAGGUGUAGCGGUGAAAUGCGUAGAUAUCUAGGAGAACACCAGUGGCGAAGGCGGAUUCCUGGGCUGGUACUGACGCUGAGCUGCGAAAGCGUGGGGAGCGAACAGGAUUAGAUACCCUGGUAGUCCACGCCGUAAACGAUGGGUACUAGGUGUUGGAGGACAUUGACCCCUCCAGUGCCGUAGCUAACGCACUAAGUACCCCGCCUGGGGAGUACGACCGCAAGGUUGAAACUCAAAGGAAUUGACGGGGACCCGCACAAGCAGUGGAGCAUGCUGCUCAAUUCGAGGCAACGCGAAGAACCUUACCUGGGCUUGACAUCCGGGGAAUCCUCUGGAAACAGGGGAGUGCCUUCGGGAACCCCGAGACAGGUGCUGCAUGGUUGUCGUCAGCUCGUGUCGUGAGAUGUUGGGUUAAGUCCCGCAACGAGCGCAACCCUUGUCCUUAGUUGCCAUCGGGUAAUGCCGGGAACUCUAGGGAGACUGCCGGUGAUAAGCCGGAGGAAGGUGGGGAUGACGUCAAAUCAUCAUGGCUCUUACGUCCAGGGCUGCAAGCGUGCUACAAUGGCCGGCACAAAGGGCUGCAAUGCCGCGAGGCGGAGCCAAUCCCAAAAAACCGGUCUCAGUUCGGAUUGAAGUCUGCAACUCGACUUCAUGAAGU